This 740-nucleotide long non-coding RNA is filed under the name Androctonus crassicauda. The record is from RNAcentral. Lineage: Eukaryota; Metazoa; Arthropoda; Arachnida; Scorpiones; Buthidae.
CUUAAUUUAAUUAAUUAAUAAAUAAAAGUAAACAAUAAGCCAAAUAACUAAAAUAAACUAUUCAAAACUGAGUGCUAUUGCAUGAUGCAAAUGUUGUUUCCGAAAAUAUCAAGAGUUUACUAUUUUAAACUAUGUGUAAUCCUAAAAUAUCCAUUUUUAAUUAUUCAAAAUUAAUAAAUGACAGAGCUAUUCCAGGAUUGAUCAUACCCAUAGCAUCCUUUAUGCAGCAGAUUUGGGAAAUGUUUAAGGUUUGGGAUCUAAGAAUCCAGAUGGGAUUCUUUAUGGAAAAAAGUCUCUGUAAUUAUGCUACAAUUGUCGAUCUGGUUAUUUUAUAAAUUUUCUACAUAAUUUAUAAACUACCAUUUCUCCAGUAUGUUAAUUUUAUUUAGUUUGUUAUAAGAAAAGGUGCAGGGAAACUUUCAAUCAACCAUUUUAAUCAUUCAUUUAUUAUAUAAUACUUUUAUUCAUAAAAAUAUUACUAAAGAAUAUACAUAACAAAAGUCCAUGAAGAUAGCCCAAACAAACACAAUAGUACAAAUACAACGAAAGCUGAAGAAAGUGCCAAGUGCAUUGAAAACAUUUCUGAAAAUAGUGUUUGAGUGAUAAAGGAUUUGUUUAUUACUAAAGAAUAUACAUACACAUUUUUUAUAUUACUUUACAAAUUUUAUAGAUUCCAUUAUACUGCCUUAUUCACACUGAUAUACAAACACAUAAAUACUGAAACGCUGUUGGCGGUUGUG